UGAUUCAUGGUGUAAUUGGAGAGCACCCAGGAUUACGACUCUUGGAGUUCAGGUUCGAACCCUGAUGAAUCAGCCA
This 76-nucleotide transfer RNA is filed under the name Chryseobacterium defluvii. RNAcentral describes it as "tRNA-Arg". It matches the Rfam family "tRNA". Rfam says of the family: Transfer RNA (tRNA) molecules are approximately 80 nucleotides in length. Their secondary structure includes four short double-helical elements and three loops (D, anti-codon, and T loops). Lineage: Bacteria; Pseudomonadati; Bacteroidota; Flavobacteriia; Flavobacteriales; Weeksellaceae. The record is from RNAcentral.